CGUAGUCAACCUACCCAACAGUGGGGAAUAACCCCUCGAAAGAGGAGCUAACACCGCAUACGCUCUCAGUCGUUGGACUAAGAGGAAACCUUGGUAGUGAAAUACCUGGGGCUGAUGGAUGGGACUGCGGCGGAUUAGCUAGAUGGUGGGGUAACGGCCUACCAUGGCGACGAUCCGUAGCUGGUCUGAGAGGACGACCAGCCACACUGGGACUGAGACACGGCCCAG
Molecule: ribosomal RNA, 228 nt
Filed under: uncultured bacterium
Lineage: Bacteria
Description: partial 16S ribosomal RNA
Rfam family: Bacterial small subunit ribosomal RNA
Source: RNAcentral